UACAGAGGGUGCGAGCGUUAAUCGGAAUUACUGGGCGUAAAGCGCACGUAGGUGGCGACGUAAGUCGGGUGUGAAAUCCCCGGGCUCAACCCGGGAACUGCGUCCGAUACUGGCGGGCUUGAAUCCGGGAGAGGGAUGCGGAAUUCCAGGUGUAGCGGUGAAAUGCGUAGAUAUCUGGAGGAACACCGGUGGCGAAGGCGGCAUCCUGGACCGGCAUUGACGCUGAGGCGCGAAAGCCAGGGGAGCAAACGGG
RNAcentral lists this ribosomal RNA (253 nucleotides) under uncultured bacterium. RNAcentral describes it as "partial 16S ribosomal RNA". It matches the Rfam family "Bacterial small subunit ribosomal RNA", at positions 524 to 776 of the family's 1533-position model. The record is from RNAcentral.